UACAGAGGGGGCAAGCGUUGUUCGGAAUUACUGGGCGUAAAGGGCGCGUAGGCGGCCUUCUAAGUCGAACGUGAAAUCCCCGGGCUCAACCCGGGAACUGCGUCCGAUACUGGAAGGCUUGAAUCCGGGAGAGGGAUGCGGAAUUCCAGGUGUAGAGGUGAAAUUCGUAGAUAUUCGCAAGAACACCAGUGGCGAAGGCGGCUCACUGGCCCGGUACUGACGCUGAGGUGCGAAAGCGUGGGGAGCAAACAGG
This 253-nucleotide ribosomal RNA is filed under the name uncultured bacterium. RNAcentral's name for it is "partial 16S ribosomal RNA". It matches the Rfam family "Bacterial small subunit ribosomal RNA", at positions 524 to 776 of the family's 1533-position model. The record is from RNAcentral.